CCUACGGGUGGCAGCAGUGAGGAAUAUUGGUCAAUGGGCGCGAGCCUGAACCAGCCAAGUCGCGUGAGGGAAGACGGCCCUACGGGUUGUAAACCUCUUUUGCCGGGGAGCAACGUGCGCCACGUGUGGCGCCCCUGAUAGUACCCGGAGAAAAAGCAUCGGCUAACUCCGUGCCAGCAGCCGCGGUAAUACGAAGGAUGCGAGCGUUAUCCGGAUUUAUUGGGUUUAAAGGGUGCGUAGGCGGAGCGUUAAGUCAGUGGUCAAAUGGAGGGGCUCAACCCUUGCCCGCCAUUGAAACUGGCGAUCUGGAGUGGAGGAGAGGUAUGCGGAAUGCGAGGUGUAGCGGUGAAAUGCGUAGAUAUCACGCAGAACCCCGAUUGCGAAGGCAGCAUGCCGGCUUGCAACUGACGCUGAGGCACGAAAGCGUGGGGAGCGAACAGGAUUAGAUACCCUUGUAGUC
RNAcentral lists this ribosomal RNA (460 nucleotides) under uncultured bacterium. Its description in RNAcentral is "partial 16S ribosomal RNA". It matches the Rfam family "Bacterial small subunit ribosomal RNA", at positions 338 to 795 of the family's 1533-position model. The record is from RNAcentral.